GAUCCUGGCUUAGGAUGAACGCUAGCGACAGGCUAACACAUGCAAGUCGAGGGGCAUCACGGGAGUAGCAAUACAACUGGUGGCGACCGGCGCACGGGUGAGUAACGCGUAUGCAACCUACCUAUCAGAGGGGAAUAACCCGGCGAAAGUCGGACUAAUACCGCAUAAAACAGGGGCACCGCAUGGUGAUAUUUGUUAAAGAAAUUCGCUGAUAGAUGGGCAUGCGUUCCAUUAGGUAGUUGGUGAGGUAACGGCUCACCAAGCCGACGAUGGAUAGGGGAACUGAGAGGUUGGUCCCCCACACUGGUACUGAGACACGGACCAGACUCCUACGGGAGGCAGCAGUGAGGAAUAUUGGUCAAUGGGCGGGAGCCUGAACCAGCCAAGUCGCGUGAAGGAAGAAGGAUCUAUGGUUCGUAAACUUCUUUUGCAGGGGAAUAAAGUGCAGGACGUGUCCUGUUUUGUAUGUACCCUGAGAAUAAGGAUCGGCUAACUCCGUGCCAGCAGCAGC
This 511-nucleotide ribosomal RNA is filed under the name uncultured bacterium. RNAcentral describes it as "bacterial SSU rRNA". It matches the Rfam family "Bacterial small subunit ribosomal RNA", at positions 15 to 518 of the family's 1533-position model. The record is from RNAcentral.